GAUUUAUGCAGGAAUGAACUGUGUCCUACACUGAAAGAAAUAUCUAUAGAUUUCACAGCAUUACCACUGAUUAGUGAACACAUUCUGAGUGUAGAACCUGUAUGCAUACAUGUUCCUUUAAAUCUGCAAAGCAUCAUGGAGGAAAUUAAUUGGUGGGUGAUUUCUACAGUAUUUUUGCACUAAUUUUGCUGGAAGGACAAACUGUGGGGGAAAAGAGAAGAAAACACAGAAAGGAAAAAGCCUGAAUAAGGAGCUGCUGUUUUCCAGUACACAUACCAGUUACAAUUUGUAAAUGAUACUAUUGCUCAUUGGAGUAUUUGAGGCUUUACUUGUGGAUGGGUGGAAGGACUGGAGGCAGGAUUCACCACCAAGAGAGGGACGAAUACAUCCAAGGUAUAGCUGAACCAGCUCAGGCCAAACCCCCUCCCCACCAGUAACCCGAGGGCUCUUCCAUCACUUCAGUUAAGAUUAUUUUCUCAUUAUUAAAUCUACAGUACACAAUGUCAGUGUCCCACAGUAUACUGGUGAGGGGUCAGGUCUACUGAUAUCAUCACAGUUU
This 559-nucleotide long non-coding RNA is filed under the name Astyanax mexicanus (Mexican tetra). Its description in RNAcentral is "lncRNA (ENSAMXG00005005147.1)". Lineage: Eukaryota; Metazoa; Chordata; Actinopteri; Characiformes; Acestrorhamphidae. The record is from RNAcentral.